This is a long non-coding RNA of Cryptotermes secundus, 1031 nucleotides long. RefSeq lists it as uncharacterized. NCBI's taxonomy places the organism in Eukaryota, Metazoa, Arthropoda, Insecta, Blattodea, Kalotermitidae. The record is from RefSeq and is a predicted model, not a curated record. The transcript is spliced from 3 exons.
UCCAUUCUUUAAUUUUAAAUAAUACCUAACGGUUGUGUAUGCAAAUUUUGGAAUUCUAUGGUAAUAGCAGUGGACCUUGUGAUUCCACAGAGACAAGAACAGCUGCCACAGACCAUGGGAGUUUUCUGUGUGGAUAUGAGAGGAUGACGAGGGAAUGUGAUCAAGAGCUGAGACCAUGAGAUAUACAGAAACCUGGAAGGUGUUCACUCAGAUGCUGUGCUGGGAUGUCAGAAGACUGCUGUAGUUCCAGUUGCAGAAAUCCCUUUCAACAAACCGACCUGAUUUCAAGAUCACACAAGUGACUAGGUGAUGCCAUUGAGGGAAGUUAACACCCACCAGUAUUUAAGAUAGAAGGAUUUUAUUUUAUUUUUGAUGUAUAUAUUUUAUUAUUUCAUUCUGUCUUAAAAAUAAAACAUGAAUGCCAGGUCCCACCCUUCCUUCCAUACCUCAUGCUGGUGCCCAUAUCAAGAUUUUAUUUUAAUUUUAUUUUCUGAUGUAAGUAUUUUGUUUCAUUCUGUCUCAAUAAAGCAGAUGAAUGCCAGGUCCCCCCCCUUCCUCCCAUCCCUGAUGCUAGUGCCCAUAUCAAGAUUUUAUUUUAAUUCUAGUUUUUGAUUUAAAUGUUUUACAAUUUCAUUCUAAAAAAUAAAGCAGAUGAAUGCCAGGUCCCCCCCCCUUUCCUCCCAUUCCUGAUGCUGGUGCCCCAUAUCAAGAUUUUAUUUUAGUUUUAGUUUUUGAUGUAAAUAUUUUGCAAUUUCAUUCUGUCUUAAAAAUAAAACAGAUGAAUGCCAGGUCCCCCCCCUUCUCCUAUCCCUCAUGCUGGUGCCCAUAUCAAGAUUUUAUUUUAGUUUUAGUUUUUGAUGUAAAUGUUUUACAAUUUCGUUCUGUCUUAGAAAUAAAACAGAUGAAUGCCAGGUCACCCCCCCCUUCCUCCCAUCCCUGAUGCUAGUGCCCAUAUCAAGAUUUUAUUUUAGUUUUUGAUGUAAAUGUUAUAUUUUAGCGUCCUGUUGCACUGAUUUAUGUCCAUGAUUUAU